Molecule: long non-coding RNA, 703 nt
Organism: Cryptotermes secundus
Lineage: Eukaryota; Metazoa; Arthropoda; Insecta; Blattodea; Kalotermitidae
Exons: 2
Source: RefSeq, a predicted model, not a curated record
ACUUCACGGGUAGAGCCAUGGGACAGAAAGAACCCUCAAUAGAGGUGAAGUUGAUGAAGAUGUAUGGAGAGUGCCACUGGACAGAGAGCUGAAGAGAAAGUCAGGCAAGCAGCAAGCAGAGAUUAAGCCAAGCAUGAGACAAGCAAGCAGCAAGGAGAAACUGCUUCCUCUUCUGUGGUGAAGAUCAAAACAGUACAUUCCUCCAUAAUGCUGGUAACUUUCUAUCAGAUUAUAUGGCAUCUCAUCCCAGAAAUUAGUAUCUUCAUAAUGACAGAAUGACUAAAUCUACACUUGACAGGCAUUCAAUUUCAAUGAGAACCUUACAGGCUAGAAGGGUAAUAUGAGGGAUAUGUUAACGAGAAGAAACAAAUGUACUUUAUUCUAACAGUUGACCCAUGAAAGCUAUAUUCCAAUGAUGAUAUCUUUACUGCACCAGUAUGACUUUAUUGCUUGGGAAUAGGGUAUUUCACCUAGUACUGACUGGCAACCAGAUUUUGAUUCAGACAUAACCAAAUUAUUAUUAAAAAAAAAAUACAAUUUUCGAACAGCUGGGCUACAUGCAAGAGCUGUUACAGCAGUGCACCACAUGAGGAGUAAAAUUUAAUUGAAAUGAAUUACCUUAAUUCCCCAACAGACUAGUAUAUUCCAUUUUCCUUUGUCAAAGUUCUCCCUCUAUGAGUUUUUCCUCUGUUGCACAUCACAC